RNAcentral lists this ribosomal RNA (776 nucleotides) under uncultured bacterium. RNAcentral describes it as "bacterial SSU rRNA". It matches the Rfam family "Bacterial small subunit ribosomal RNA", at positions 9 to 769 of the family's 1533-position model. The record is from RNAcentral.
GAGUUUGAUCCUGGCUCANGGACGAACGCUGGCGGCGCUGGAUUAGGCAUGCAAGUCGAACGCGAACGGAAUCCUUCGGGAUUUUUAUUAGAGUGGCGGACGGGUGAGUAACGCGUAGAUAAUCUACCUUUAAGUGGGGGAUAGCCAUCGGAAACGAUGAUUAAUACCGCAUGUGGAGCUUCGGCUCUAAAGAUGGCCUCUGUUUCAAGCUGUCGCUUAAAGAUGAGUCUGCGUCCUAUUAGCUAGUUGGUGAGGUAACUGCUCACCAAGGCGAUGAUAGGUAGGCGGCCUUAACGGGUGGUCGCCCACACUGGGAUUGAGAUACGGCCCAGACUCCUACGGGAGGCAGCAGUCGAGAAUAGUCUACAAUGGACGAAAGUCUGAUAGUGCGACGCCGCGUGGAUGAAGAAGCAUUUCGGUGUGUAAAAUCUUUUUCUUUGUGAGCAAUGGCCUGUACAUUAAUAGUGUGCAGGACGAGAUAUUAGCAGAGGAAUAAGCUCCGGCUAACUCCGUGCCAGCAGCCGCGGUAACACGGGGGGAGCAAGCGUUGUCCGGAAUCACUAGGCGUAAAGGGUAAGUAGGCGGAAGCGAAAGUCAGAUGUUAAAGGCACCGGCUCAACCGAUGUACGGCAUUUGAAACUUCGUUUCUAGAGUAAGGUGGGGGAAGAUGGAAUUCCUGGUGUAGCGGUGGAAUGCGCAGAUAUCAGGAAGAACACCAGUGGCGAAGGCGAUCUUCUAUACCAUUACUGACGCUCAAUUACGAAGGUGUGGGUAUC